GCCGAGUUAGGCCGUGUCGCAAGUUUUGUGAGGUGCUUUUUUGAUAUUUAAUGGAUACCGAUACGUAAUAUCGGAUCGGUCCAUCUCUAGUUUUUAAUUUAAUGUCCUGUAUCAGUGUGAAGAGUUUCUGAAUGUACGUUUUUACUGGGAGAGAGCCACACGACAUCAGCAUGAAAGUAGCCCGACCCAAAGGAGUGUGUGCCCUGAUGAUUAACCAGGACACAGCAGGAAUUUAUAAUGUGACCCAGUUACCGUCUGACACAGGUAUCAUUUAAAGUCUGGACACCUAAUAUUCUGCAAAGUGCUCCACUUUGAACUUUGGCUUGAAGCUCGUUUGGUAACCGUUUAAUGAAUCAAUGCUAUUCCAUGUUGCUCUGCUAAUGGCACAGGGAACAAACUAAGGAAAGUAGGCAGAGUGCUAGCCAGAAGCUUCGAGCGCUACAUUGUGAGUGAGCUACCAAUUAACCUUGCAGUGUCAGCGGUUUCCCAUCAGCACCUUGACCGCCGGCGGAGCCUAAACUGGGACAAACCAGCCGGGAUAAUCCGCACAGAAAAUUCCGAAACAAAAACAGAGAAGCGAAGACUGACUUUGAAAAAACGGGUUUGUGUCAAUAACAAUCCACCAAUGACUGCACCGCCACAGCCACUCCUCCACUGCUGUCUUGGAGUUGUGUGGAGUUAUGAUGAUAACAGAUCAAUAAAAAGAUGAACUAGAUUUGAAAGAAGGAAUCCUCAAGGUUGCUCUGCCGAUCCACACAGGAAGCAGCGCUAACAUAAAAAAACAAAGGACUAACUUAAGGUCAUUGUCGAGACACUUGGCAAAUUUGUGUGAUUAUUUUUGAACAUGAAUAGGGAGAAAAUUGCAGACUCAGCCAGACGGCAGUCCUAUUAAAAAGUAUAAUGGUGGACUGUUGUUUGGUUAUUUAGUAACAAAGCCGUGCUGGCCAUGGCCUACAUAUUUCUGUUUGUUUAGCAAACGAUAAGAUCUCUUGUUCCCGGCAUCAAUGUGGGCCGCCUCACCACAGCGGAGAGGCACAACAAAAUAAAAAGGGCAGGAAAAAAUAUGCAUGAGAAAAAAGCAAUGUUAGUGCGAAGUGGUGUCUAAAGAUAAGGAGAGAGAAGGCGUGCUGGUGUAUUUAGGGUGUGGAGGUGACGCAGUGCAUAAACAGCUGCUUGUUCACCAUCACGCUGUAGGACUCUGAAAGGAAUUAAAGCUUCGAGGCUUCAUCUUAGUCACAGUUAUAGAUUGGUUCAUAUGUUUUUGGACAAUUACAUCAUUUAUUUGUCAUUUUAAGUCUGUAAACCAAGUAGUUUUACCAAGAUAUUAAUUUUUGAUUGAUACUGACGCUUAUGAACUUGGUCGUUUCUGUAUUUUAGUUUUUACUCUUUGAUUGGUGUGUAUGUACUUGUCAUGAUCAUACUGCUGUCCUUCUUGGCCAGGUCACUCUUGAAAAGGAGAUUUUAAAUCUAUUCAUUUUCAGAGGCUCAAAAGUAACUGCUUGAACACUCAGUAAGAGCUCCAAAGAGAUGCUGACGAUGGUGAGGGAGACCAUGAUUAAGAUGAAGAAACAAAAUUAACAUAUCAGACAUAAAGCAGAAACUUCAGGAGCGGCCAAAUCAACAAACUGUACAUGAAAAGGCCUGAAAGAUGAUGACCUGAAGCUGUCGAACACAACAGGAGGUAACGUUAUUUCAUAAGCACGUCUGCCAGUGGUCUGAAGAGAGGACAUGCAUCAUUUGGUGAUGUCCAUGGGCUCCAAACUUUGAUGCAUUUUUUUGUUAAAAACUCUUGAACUAAACUGAAAAUCUGCACUUCAGUUGUUUGAUUUAAACCCUGGUGGACCUGACGCAUAUCUGAGAGUUUCAGACUGAAGCUUUAGCCAAACUGAAUGCUUCACCACCGCCGCUGAUGAGUCAGGUUUGCUGGUAUCCUUGUUCAAAUUUGAAGUAGAGCUAUUUGCGCUCGCCUCAAGGUGAGUCUUGAUCUGCAGCUCCUCGGGUGCAGCCACAAAACCUAAGCUAAACUAAUCCAGCUGCCCAGCGAGAAGCUGCAGGAGGCUGUGGUGGUCUGUGCAGCUCCCAGCUUGAACACCAGGAUGUGCAUCAAUUAAAAUAAAACCGGAUGAAAAAAACAAAACAAAACAGGAGGCCAGUUUUUCUGGAUAGGGACGAGCCCUCAUCGGCUUUUACUGUAAAUACUGGAGCAAACACAGCGUGUUACAUAAGAUUUGGGCAGCAGAAAAGCAUAAUAGGUUUCAAAUAUGAGUCAUGCAAAGUCAACCCAUGAUAAAACCCAACAAAACAAAAUUAUUACACCGCAACAAAUCUUUGAAUCGGUUUGAACUAUUUUCAAACUGAUUUUCAACAAGGUCUCUGCACUGCCAUCUCCACUGCAUAACCUGACACAGUUUGGUCCUAUUCACAUAAAACAGACCCGGGUCAAAUCAACAUUUCAAGAAGACACUUGAGUGACAUCACAUUACCCCCGACAUCCACGUUCCUCCCAGUUCAUGUAAAAUGUGUCUUUUUUUGUAUUUAGCAAA
This is a long non-coding RNA of Oreochromis niloticus (Nile tilapia), 2543 nucleotides long. RefSeq lists it as uncharacterized. The transcript is spliced from 2 exons. NCBI's taxonomy places the organism in Eukaryota, Metazoa, Chordata, Actinopteri, Cichliformes, Cichlidae. The record is from RefSeq and is a predicted model, not a curated record.